Molecule: ribosomal RNA, 460 nt
Filed under: uncultured bacterium
Lineage: Bacteria
Description: partial 16S ribosomal RNA
Rfam family: Bacterial small subunit ribosomal RNA
Source: RNAcentral
CCUACGGGAGGCAGCAGUGAGGAAUAUUGGUCAAUGGACGCAAGUCUGAACCAGCCAUGCCGCGUGCAGGAAGACGGCUCUAUGAGUUGUAAACUGCUUCUGUACGAGGGUAAACGCAGAUACGCGUAUCUGUCUGAAAGUAUCGUACGAAUAAGGAUCGGCUAACUCCGUGCCAGCAGCCGCGGUAAUACGGAGGAUUCAAGCGUUAUCCGGAUUUAUUGGGUUUAAAGGGUGCGUAGGCGGUCGGAUAAGUUAGAGGUGAAAUCCCGAGGCUCAACUUCGGAAUUGCCUCUGAUACUGUUCGGCUAGAGAGUAGUUGCGGUAGGCAGAAUGUAUGGUGUAGCGGUGAAAUGCUUAGAGAUCAUACAGAACACCGAUUGCGAAGGCAGCCUACCAGGCUACUUCUGACGUUGAGGCACGAAAGCGUGGGGAGCAAACAGGAGUAGAUACCCGUGUAGUC